This is a small nuclear RNA of Neogale vison (American mink), 107 nucleotides long. The record is from Ensembl. Lineage: Eukaryota; Metazoa; Chordata; Mammalia; Carnivora; Mustelidae.
GUGCUCGCUUCGGCAGUACAUAUACUAAAAUUGGAACGAUACAGAGAAGAUUAGCAUGGCCCCUGCGCAAAGAUCACAUACUCAGUUUAGCCAGGGAAACCUCUUUG